UACAGGGGGUGCAAACGUUGCUCGGAAUUACUGGGCGUAAAGGGUGCGUAGGCGGUUGUUUAAGUCUGUUGUGAAAUCCCCGGGCUCAACCUGGGAAUGGCAAUGGAUACUGGGCAGCUAGAGUGUGUCAGAGGAUGGUGGAAUUCCCGGUGUAGCGGUGAAAUGCGUAGAGAUCGGGAGGAACAUCAGUGGCGAAGGCGGCCAUCUGGGACAACACUGACGCUGAAGCACGAAAGCGUGGGGAGCAAACAGG
RNAcentral lists this ribosomal RNA (253 nucleotides) under uncultured bacterium. Its description in RNAcentral is "partial 16S ribosomal RNA". It matches the Rfam family "Bacterial small subunit ribosomal RNA", at positions 524 to 776 of the family's 1533-position model. The record is from RNAcentral.